UCGCUACUACCGAUGGAACGAUUUAGUGAGCUGCACGGACCAGUACUCUUGCUUGGUUUCCUUGCUUGAGUACUCGGGAAGUGACGCAAACUUGACCGUUUAGAGGAAGUAA
RNAcentral lists this ribosomal RNA (112 nucleotides) under uncultured eukaryote. Its description in RNAcentral is "partial small subunit ribosomal RNA". The record is from RNAcentral.